GUGCUCCUGGGGGGGCCCGGCAGCUACUUCUGGCAAGGUGAGACCCCCGCCCCACCUGGGUGUCCCCUGGGUGUCCCCUGGGUGUCCCCACUGUCCCCUGGGUGUCCCCCCCAUCCCCUGGGUGUCUCCACUGUCCCCUGGGUGUCCCCAUUGUCCCCUGGGUGUCCCCUGGGUGUCCCCAUUGUCCUCUGGGUGUCCCCUGGGUGUCCCCUGCCUGUUUUCCCUGUCUCUGUCCCUUGUCCCCAAAGGGUGUUAAGAUGUCCCCUGUCCCCAGGGCAAGUGAUGUCGGUGUGAGGCAGUGUCCCCAUUGUCCCCAGUGUCCCCAUUGUCCCCAGUGUCCCCAGCCAUGCUGAGGUGUCCCCUGUCCCCAGGGCAGGUGAUGUCGGCCACCCAGGAGCAGAUCACGGCCGGGAACUUCCCCGAGUACCUGAUCCAGGAGGUGCCGGGACAGCUCCAGACGCGGCAGGCGGAGCCCAGCCACUGGGGACAGCUACAUGGGUUACUCGGUGACAGUCGGGGAGUUCAGCGGUGACACCACGCAAGGUGGGUGACAGCGGGUGACAUGC
This 566-nucleotide long non-coding RNA is filed under the name Junco hyemalis (dark-eyed junco). RNAcentral describes it as "lncRNA (ENSJHYG00000012990.1)". The record is from RNAcentral. Lineage: Eukaryota; Metazoa; Chordata; Aves; Passeriformes; Passerellidae.